UCCCCAUUUCUUUUCAUUUUUCCCCAUUUCUUUGCAUUUUUCCCCAUUUCUUUGCAUUUUUUCCCCAUUUCUUUGCAUUUUUCCCCAUUUCUUUGCAUUUUUUCCCAAUCUGUCCAUGUUUUUUCCCCAAUUUCAUGUUUUUUCCCCCUCUACGUGGUUUUUCCCCUUUUUUCCCAAAUUUACGUGUUUUUUCCCUACCUCUUCAUCUUUUUCCCCACUUCUACUUCCUUUUUCCCCACCUCUACAACUUUUUCCCCCAUUUCUUCGUUUUUUCCACAUUUUUUUUAAUGUUUUUCCCCACCUCUACCUGUUUUUCCCCCAUUUCUUUGAUUUUUCCAGACCUCUGUUUUUUUCCCAGUUCUAUGUUUUUUUCCCCAGCUCUCCGUUUGUUUUUUCCCCAUUUCUUUGUUUUUUCCCCACCUCUACCUGCUUUUUCCCCAUUUCUUUAUGUUUUUCCCCCCCUCCAUGUUUUUCCCCCAUUUCUUUGGUUUUGCCCCACCUCUAUGUUUUUUUCCCCAUUUCUUUAUGCUUUUUCCUCACCUCUACGUGUUUUUUCCCCAUUUAUUUUUUUCCCAAUCUCGUCACAUUUUUUCCCCAUUUCUUCAUAUUUUUCCCGAUCUCGUCACAUUUUUCCCCCAUUCUUUUAUAUUUUUCCCAAUCUCACCACAUUUUUCCCUAUUUCUUUGUAUUUUUCCCAAUCUCAUCGCAUUUUUUCCCCAUUUCUUCAUAUUUUUCCCAAUCUCUUCACAUUUUUUCCCGUUCUUUUAUAUUUUUCCCAAUCUCACCACAUUUUUCCCCAUUUCUUUACAUUUUUCCCAAUCUCGUCACAUUUUUUCCCCAUUUCUUCAUAUUUUUCCCCACCUCGUCACAUUUUUUCCCUAUUUCUUUGUAUUUUUCCCAAUCCCGUCACAUUUUUUCCCCAUUUCUUUAUGUUUUUUCCCCACCUCGUCACAUUUUUCCCCAUCUCCUCACUCUCUCUCCAACCUCAUUACUUUUUCCCCCAUCCCUUCGCGUUUUUCCCCAUUUCUUCCCUUUUUCCCCUAUUCCCCCUCUCCCCUCCAUUACGCAUCAGGGCGGUGACUUCUUUUUUCUUUCGUUUCUCUUCGCUUUUAGCAUUGCCCAACCACCGUCUCUUUUUUCUUCUCGUUUUUGAG
This 1154-nucleotide long non-coding RNA is filed under the name Anser cygnoides (Swan goose). RNAcentral's name for it is "lncRNA (ENSACDG00005007930.1)". Lineage: Eukaryota; Metazoa; Chordata; Aves; Anseriformes; Anatidae. The record is from RNAcentral.